Rhododendron vialii is the source of this 4213-nucleotide long non-coding RNA. RefSeq lists it as uncharacterized. Lineage: Eukaryota; Viridiplantae; Streptophyta; Magnoliopsida; Ericales; Ericaceae. The record is from RefSeq and is a predicted model, not a curated record. The transcript is spliced from 2 exons.
GAGUUGUGGAAUUUAAAUCCCAGAGUUCAAAGGAUAAUGGAGGCUGCUUACACUAGUUUUGAGUAUUUAGUCAAACUCACAUUUCCAGUGAACCAUGAUCUUCCUCUUGUUUCUGUACUAAUUGAUUCUUAUAGGGAGAGAGAUAGGGCCUUUGUUUUCCACGAGGAUGAACUUGUUUUUAGUUUGAGGGACGUCCUAGACAUUACCGGCCCCGAAUAUGAGCGUGAAGAUUUGUGCAAGAAGUACUUAGGAAUGAGAGGCAAGAGGGGUCAAAAAGAUUUUGUGAGAAACCCGUGGCUCAAGAACAAGAUGAUGUUGAGGAGAGUAGUGUUGAGAUUUUGCCAUAUGUUUGGGCUUAUGUAUUGUACCUCAUUGGUUCAUUGUUAUUUCUGACAAUACGGGGGUGAAAGGUGUCGGGGAUCUUCCUUCCUCUCUUAGAAGACGUGAAAGAAAUUGGAAAGUAUGCUUGGGGUGCCGCUUUGCUUGCACACUUGCACGUGUGUUUGGAGAAGUCCAAAAAGAGAAACUCAAAUAGUGUCGCCGGACAUGUAUUCACUAUCGCUAAAUAUUUCUUCAUUUUUUUUAAUGUAUUUGUUUAUUUUUGAUUCCAUUUUGACAGUGUUUAUGGUUUUUUGUCCUAGAUAUUUGCAUUGAAACACAUCCCAAGGCUAGGAGAAGUAAAUUUUGGGACUCCAAUUAAAUGUCCUAGUGAUUUUCGGUUAUUGAAGGAUUGGACAUCGCUGUUGUGUCCAAGUGGGAAGAACAACUUCAGGGCAAAACAAAGAAAGACUUUCUCAACACUACUCUCCUCAACAUCAUCUUGUUCCUAAGCUGAGUCUCGCGAAACCUUUUUGACCCCUCUUGCAUCUCAUUCCUAAGUACUUCUUGCACAAAUUUUCACACCCAUAUUCGGGGCCGGUAACAGCCUUGCUCUCUAUUGGUAGGCCAGUAAUGUAUAGGACAUCCCUCAAACUAAAAACAAGUCUUGUGGAAAACAAAGCCCUAUCUCUCUUCCUAUAAGAAUCAAUUAGUACAGAAAUAAGAGGAAGUGGUUCACUAGGAAUGUGAGGUUGACUAAAUGCUCAAAACCAGUGUGAGCAGCCUCCAUUGUCCUUUGAACUCUAAGAUCUACCUUUCACAACUCCAGGUUAUUCAAAUGAUCCAUGACUUUGAUUCCAAUAACAAAAAAACAAAUCAUCGAAACAACCAAACUAUAAAAUACACAAAGCACCAAAAUCUAUUAGACGUGUUCUGUUUAGCAUUGUCAACAUUUACAAUGUUCAUUUUGUCAGCAACCCGAGCACGAACUUUAUUGCAGUGACUAUUUCUCACAUAAACAAAGAUGCUUAAUAAGCAACUUUAUCUAAACCAUGCAAUGUGCUUAAUAGGCAACUUUAUCUGUGUUUGUAGCUUGUGUAUUGCUCCUUUCAAAGCUCUUACAUCUUUUGGCUUGGUUUUAAGCGUCGAUGUAAUCUUAUGUGUUCUCAGGUAAUAAAACUAACCUUUUACCUGGAAAAAUUAAUAAACAGGUACAAAAACCACAAUCUACAAUCUGGUGGUAGUCCAUGGCUGGAAGAACAUGAUCUACGAGGAGAAGAGUUGGGUGGCCAUCAACUCCAGUGUUUUCUUGAUCCGGAAUUGCCAGUGGUCAUUGAAUUCAUGGAGGUUUGGUCAAGCAUGGGGGCAAAAUCCAAAAGGCAACGCUCCCAGACAAGCUCUUCCCAGAAUCCGGCGAUCAGUCAGCCCUGGUUUACCUCCUCCUUAAAGAGAAGGAGAAAUGGGGGAACAAGAUUUAUGUAGCGGGGGAGUAUUACUUCGAAGGGUAUUGGUUAGAAAUUGUGGGGACACUAGACAAUAUAACGGAGAAGUAUGUGGGAUUGAGAAGGAGGUGCUGAGAUUAAGGCGGUGGCAUGCGGAGAAGGUGAGCGAAGGGUAUGCGGAGAUGAUGGAACCAUUCUUAAGGAGGCGGUGCAUGGGCGGUGGAGCUGGCGGCGGCCGUUUAUUACACAUUUUACCGGGUGUCAGCCUUGUAGUGGGAGGCAUAAUCAGAUGUACUCCGGCGAGAGUUGCUGGGAUGGGAUGCAGAGGGCUUUGAAUUUUGACAAUAAUCAUGUGCUUCGUAGUUUUGGUUUCGUGCACCCGGAUUUACUGGAUUCCUCCUCAGUGUCGCCUCUGCCGUUCGAUUUCCCGGCAUGAGAGAUCGUGAUAAGAGGUGCAUUUUGUUUUCUUGCUACUAGUUUGUAAAUCUACUUUAUGCAGUUUUGCUUUAUUACUAAUGAAAUUUGAUUUAUCUAUUUGUCCUAAACUACCUUCUUUACUUUUGUUCUUUUUGUUUAGUUUUGUUUUGUUUGUUUUUGGUUUUUGCAACGGUCAAAAGUUUAGAGUGUACAAUUUGAAAGAUGUCGUAAUACAAAAGUUGAUAAUGACAUUCAGGCCAUGUUUGAUUCGUCAGAUUGGUAUUUAAGGGAUGUAACCUCACUGGCCCUUGUUUUAAGUCCAGAUAAUGUCAAUCAUUGUUCAAACUUCAAUGCACAUCUUUUACAGUUUUACUAUAUUCUUUCUCAUCUUUCUACACACGUUUUGACAGUGGUAAGAUAUAUCUAGCUUAGAAGAUCCCGCAUUGAUAAUUAAGGACAUUUGUAGAGUUUCGAAUACUCCGAACUCUAUUUUUUCCUUUUUUGCUGGCGUCAUAGAGAUUCUUACAACAUCUUAUGUUUUCGAGGCAACUCGUUUGUACUCUACGUGGAGUAGUGUUGACAAAAUGAUAUAACAAGUUUCUGUAGUGUAUUGUUUCAGGGCUAGAUGAACUUAAACUAUUGUGUCAUUAGCUUAGUACAGGGGUCUGUGAAUCUGUAAGCUUAAGUUAGGAGUCAGUUGUCCGAUAUAUUUAAACUAAUGGCAAGUGAACCCAACAAACAAUUUGCAUCAUUUUUUAUCACUCCCCUCAGCAAACAUUUUUUAAUAGCAAAGAAACAUAAUGAGGUAUAAACAGAAAUCACGAGACUUCAAUCCAACUAGAGCUCUGAUGCUAAAACCACACGAUUGUUCCACAUGGGUUAACUCAUCAAGAAGGAAACAGCUUAAUAGUGCAAAUUAAGCUAUUCAACAGGCUAGUCUUGGCUAUAGUUGGCAUUCACUUCGAAGAGUCAACAUUUUGGUAUUGUGGUGUUCCGAUGUUUUGUUUGGAAUUCUAAUUAAAUUACUCUGUUUAUAGCAUUUUAUUCUCUGUAAUUGUUCUUUUGCUUUCUCUUUUCUCCUUUGUCGCUUUACAUGUAAAAGCAACUUAAUGAGUUUACUCUUUUGGGGCUUAGUUAAUGCAUGAUUGAAGGCUAAUUUCACCUAUUUUAUGGGUAUCAUUUUUUAUGCACGGCUGAAGCUUCACGUGUGUAUACACGCACACAUGUGUGGGUAUGUAUAUAUUUGUUUAUUUGGGGGGUGGGGGGAAAUCAAAAGGAAAAGAACGAAAAGAGGUAUAUGUGAACAGAAAAUGGGAGUGUUUUGGGGUUAUCCUAUGUUACCUAGUACCUACAUUACUUUAUUAAGUCCCCUUAAGUUACAUUCUUUUACAUGCCCAAAUUUCCGGAAGAAACUUUGGUUGUUUCUUUUAGUGAGAAGUUGAGAAAACCCUUGGAUGGAACAAAAUAGGUGGUACCAAUAAGAACAGAAGCUUCCCAACUUGUGGUUUCGGGGGACUUCAUGCAUAAAUUUUGUAUUUGCUGUUCCUCAGCAUCUUUGGGAGUUGGCUCAUACUUCUCCUUGUGUUUGCGUCAGUUUCCGGUUUGUGGGUGUGAAUAGGUUGACUAGCUAUCUAAGUAGUCGGUCUCUUUCGUAUCAUCAUAAUGAGGAUCUCCUGCAUUUGAACCCGCUUGAAUUUAGGUCUAAACACAAUCUUUUGAUAGUUCAGUCUGUGAUUAUCGUAUUACUUUUAACUGGAUUUGGCGUUAUGCACAGAUAUUUUAUGCUUCUGGUGUUGCUGUAAAUGGAUUUCCUGCGUUGGCUUAAGGGUGGUGUUCUUGUACUUCAACACCUACAUAGGUUUGUAAGAAAGCCCAGGUUUGCGGGUGCAAGCAAGAAAUGGCAAAAGGUGCACGUGUUCGAGUCCUUUCGAAAAUACUAUAGAACCGCACUAACGGAGGAAUGAGAAAUUUUGUUAGCAAGGGCUGUAGAUUCUCGUGUAAGAUUGUAUUGAUAUGAGCAAAUAUUAUUCCUUGUU